This 505-nucleotide ribosomal RNA is filed under the name uncultured fungus. RNAcentral's name for it is "SSU rRNA". It matches the Rfam family "Eukaryotic small subunit ribosomal RNA", at positions 569 to 1078 of the family's 1831-position model. The record is from RNAcentral. Lineage: Eukaryota; Fungi.
AGCAGCCGCGGUAAUUCCAGCUCCAAUAGCGUAUAUUAAAGUUGUUGCAGUUAAAAAGCUCGUAGUUGAAUUUCGGGGUUAGUAAGUUGGUCAUGCCUUCGGUAUGUACUGGCUUUACUGAUUCCUCCUUCUUGACGAACCGUGAUGUCAUUAAUUUGAUGUUGCGGGAAAUCAGGACUGUUACUUUGAAAAAAUUAGAGUGUUUAAAGCAGGCUAACGCUUGAAUACAUUAGCGUGGAAUAAUGAAAUAGGACGUUAAUCCUAUUUUGUUGGUUUCUAGGAUCGACGUAAUGAUUAAUAGGGAUAGUUGGGGGCAUUAGUAUUCAAUUGUCAGAGGUGAAAUUCUUGGAUUUAUUGAAGACUAACUACUGCGAAAGCAUUUGCCAAGGAUGUUUUCAUUAAUCAAGAACGAAAGUUAGGGGAUCGAAGACGAUCAGAUACCGUCGUAGUCUUAACCAUAAACUAUGCCGACUAGGGAUCGGAUGAUGUUAUUUUUAAUGACUCA